Molecule: transfer RNA, 74 nt
Filed under: Dyscophus antongilii (tomato frog)
Lineage: Eukaryota; Metazoa; Chordata; Amphibia; Anura; Microhylidae
Description: tRNA-Leu
Rfam family: tRNA
About the family: Transfer RNA (tRNA) molecules are approximately 80 nucleotides in length. Their secondary structure includes four short double-helical elements and three loops (D, anti-codon, and T loops).
Source: RNAcentral
GUUAACGUGGCAGAAUCUGGUUAUGCAAAAGACCUAAACCCUUUUACCUAGGGGUUCAAAUCCCCUCGCUAACU